UACGAAGGGGGCUAGCGUUGCUCGGAAUCACUGGGCGUAAAGGGUGCGUAGGCGGGUCUUUAAGUCAGGGGUGAAAUCCUGGAGCUCAACUCCAGAACUGCCUUUGAUACUGAAGAUCUUGAGUGCGGGAGAGGUGAGUGGAACUGCGAGUGUAGAGGUGAAAUUCGUAGAUAUUCGCAAGAACACCAGUGGCGAAGGCGGCUCACUGGCCCGAUACUGACGCUGGAGGCACGAAAGCGUGGGGAGCAAACAGGG
RNAcentral lists this ribosomal RNA (255 nucleotides) under uncultured bacterium. RNAcentral's name for it is "partial 16S ribosomal RNA". It matches the Rfam family "Bacterial small subunit ribosomal RNA", at positions 524 to 777 of the family's 1533-position model. The record is from RNAcentral.